CACCAAUAGCAAAAAAGAAUAAUGUUACCAUAGCCAAAUCCUCCCUGCAGUUUCACUAUCCUCACCUGCACAUUUGAGAGGAAGUAAAGAAAACAGUACUUGCAAGCAGAUAAUGAUAAUGGCUUCUCUUCCUAUUGCCUUUGCUCUUCCUACUGUUAGAGUGUAUGCAGCCACGGCAGCUAAGGGAGCAGGUGGCAGUAAAGAGGAAAAGGGUUUUCUUGAUUGGGUUCUUGGAAAUUUGCAGAAGGAAGACCAAUUCUAUGAGACUGAUCCUAUCCUCAAGAAAGUAGAGGAGAAGACUGGUGGUGGCACCAACGCCGGCGGCAAGAACUCCGUGUCAAUCCCACAGAAGAAGAAGGGUAAUGGGGAAGGCUUCGGUGGGCUGUUCGCCAAGAAAUGAAAUAUAGAGAUAUUGUUCUGUUAGCUUUCUGUCUGUCU
This 438-nucleotide unclassified non-coding RNA is filed under the name Hevea brasiliensis (rubber tree). Lineage: Eukaryota; Viridiplantae; Streptophyta; Magnoliopsida; Malpighiales; Euphorbiaceae. The record is from RNAcentral.